CCUACGGGAGGCAGCAGUGAGGAAUAUUGGUCAAUGGGCGCGAGCCUGAACCAGCCAAGUAGCGUGAAGGAUGACAGCCCUACGGGUUGUAAACUGCUUUUAUAAAGGAAUAAAGUGAGGCACGUGUGCCUUUGUGGAUGUACUUUAUGAAUAAGGAUCGGCUAACUCCGUGCCAGCAGCCGCGGUAAUACGGAGGAUCCGAGCGUUAUCCGGAUUUAGUGGGUUUAAAGGGAGCGUAGAUGGGUUGUUAAGUCAGUUGUGAAAGUUUGCGGCUCAACCGUAAAAUUGCAAUUUCUACUGGCAGCCUUGCGUACAGUUGCGGUAGGCUGCAUUCGUUGUGUAGCGGU
RNAcentral lists this ribosomal RNA (347 nucleotides) under uncultured bacterium. Its description in RNAcentral is "partial 16S ribosomal RNA". It matches the Rfam family "Bacterial small subunit ribosomal RNA", at positions 338 to 682 of the family's 1533-position model. The record is from RNAcentral.